Molecule: ribosomal RNA, 274 nt
Filed under: uncultured bacterium
Lineage: Bacteria
Description: partial 16S ribosomal RNA
Rfam family: Bacterial small subunit ribosomal RNA
Source: RNAcentral
AUACGGAGGGUGCAAGCGUUAUCCGGAAUCAUUGGGUUUAAAGGGUCCGCAGGCGGACUGAUAAGUCAGUGGUGAAAUCCCGUAGCUUAACUACGGAACUGCCAUUGAAACUGUCAGUCUUGAAUUCGGUCGAAGUGGGCGGAAUGUGUCAUGUAGCGGUGAAAUGCAUAGAUAUGACACAGAACACCGAUAGCGAAGGCAGCUCACUAGGCCUGAAUUGACGCUCAGGGACGAAAGCGUGGGGAGCGAUCAGGAUUAGAAACCCUAGUAGUCC